This is a long non-coding RNA of Bradysia coprophila, 718 nucleotides long. The record is from RefSeq and is a predicted model, not a curated record. NCBI's taxonomy places the organism in Eukaryota, Metazoa, Arthropoda, Insecta, Diptera, Sciaridae.
CAAUCUUUCAAUGGUUGAGGAUUUUAGAGUAGGGUUGGGGGUGAAAAUUUCUGAUUUUUAUAGUCAUUUAAAAUGUUUUUGAUUUUUAUAGUCACUUAGACUGUUACAAUUAUAUUUGGGGUUUCAUUUGGGGUCGUAGUUAGGACCAUUUGGUCAUUUCGAGUUUAUAUUUUUGAUUACAUAACUUAAGAACUGAUGUGAAAGCGCGAAAUCACUUCUCAAAAACUUGGUCAUAUGAGCGAAUGGCUCAAGAAAUUAUUGCGAAAAGGUUGAUGAAGAUGAGGAAAAGGAUUGCGAUGAGAAACUUUUGUCCAGUUUGGACGACAGUCAUAUUUUUCUGAGGAGGGAGUAUUGUGGUACCCCUCAUGCCGAAUGGCAGUGAAAAUAUUCCACAAUUUGGUGAAUCGCUGAAUUUCCAAAUAUUCGGAAUCAAAUAUCAUGGAAAUAUAUCGUCCACGAAAUCGCUAUCGAGGUUGGACGGAUGUGAAGUGCAAAUGCACUCACAUCAAUUUGCUGAUAAUGCAAAAUAGACGAAUUGUGGAAUAUCAAUCGUACCGAACGGUCGAUUGCAAUGAACAUAAAAAAAUCAGAAUUAUUUUGUACGUCGACUUGAAAGGUUUGGAGAAUUAAGAGAAGUGUUUUUAUCCAUCGGCUGGAAAGGUCUAAGUAAUUGAGAGAAUUGUUAUGAACAAUAGUGUUCGAAAGGUGAUUUCGCGUC